RNAcentral lists this ribosomal RNA (494 nucleotides) under uncultured bacterium. RNAcentral describes it as "partial 16S ribosomal RNA". It matches the Rfam family "Bacterial small subunit ribosomal RNA", at positions 28 to 507 of the family's 1533-position model. The record is from RNAcentral.
GACGAACGCUGGCGGCGUGCUUAACACAUGCAAGUCGAACGGAAAGGCCUGCUUUCCCUUGUGGAUUGCGGGUACUCGAGUGGCGAACGGGUGAGUAACACGUGAGUGAUCUGCCCCCAACUUGGGUAUAAGCCUGGGAAACUGGGUCUAAUUCCCGAUAGGACUGCAGGGUGGUGCCUGUGGUGGAAAACGAUUUUCUAGUGGUUGGGGAUGAGCUCGCGGCCUAUCAGCUUGUUGGUGGGGUAAUGGCCUACCAAGGCGGCGACGGGUAGCCGGCCUGAGAGGGUGGACGGCCACAUUGGGACCGAGAUACGGCCCAGACUCCUACGGGAGGCAGCAGUGGGGAAUAUUGCACAAUGGGCGGAAGCCUGAUGCAGCGACGCCGCGUGGGGGAUGACGGCCUUCGGGUUGUAAACUCCUUUCGACCGCGAGGAAGCCACCUGGUUGGAAGGGUGGUGACGGUAGUGGUAGAAGAAGCACCGGCUAACUACGUG